CAAUGGAUGAAAUUGAAGAUAAAAUGAGCGAGAAGAGAAUAAUAACGAACUCGGAUUCCGGUGGCCUUCGUCAGAGACUUUGAUGUGCAACAAACAACCUUCAAUUUCGUAGGAAAAGUAGGAAACAUCGUCGAAAGUGGUCCUUCCAUUCCAGCAUUAUUCAGCUUCAAUCUUGAGAAAUUGAUGGGCCACCUUCUGAAUCUACUCCAUGGAACAUUUUUGUUAAACAAUUUCUGCUUCUUUGACUGCCCUAGAUUGCUCAAACAAAAAAAAUGUUCCUAUAAUGGAAAAGUUGCAAAAUUUCAGAAAUAUAAUGGUGCCUCACUUGCUCUGCAAGGCAAUGGGGAGUUUGCGGAUCAUGUUGCUAGCUCGUUUAACCAUAAGGUACUAUAUUGUCUAUGUCCCUUUUGUGCUACAAUCUUAUGUUUUUAUAAUUCACCAUUGUAAAAUUCAGUUCCUUAUAAUAUGUGCUUGAACUUGAUUUCAUAUUUUUUGAAAUUUAAUACAAUAAGCAUGCUUCUGGAGAAGUGCCAGAAUUUUCUUUGCUCUGAUAAAUGAUAACACUUAAGAAGGAAAAGAGAGAGAAUGAAAGAGGGUGGAAGACAUAGAGAAAGCAA
This is a long non-coding RNA of Gastrolobium bilobum, 617 nucleotides long. RefSeq lists it as uncharacterized. The transcript has 3 exons. NCBI's taxonomy places the organism in Eukaryota, Viridiplantae, Streptophyta, Magnoliopsida, Fabales, Fabaceae. The record is from RefSeq and is a predicted model, not a curated record.